GGAAUAUAAGAACUUGUCUCUUAACUUUUAACUAAAAAAGCUAAGAACCGGCUCUUAAAUAAGAGAUUUAAGAACCGGUUCUUAGUUUUUUUAGUUAAAAGUUAAGAGACGGGUUCUUAUAUUCC
This 125-nucleotide microRNA precursor is filed under the name Brassica napus (rape). Its description in RNAcentral is "MIR9563 microRNA precursor family". It matches the Rfam family "MIR9563 microRNA precursor family". The record is from Rfam by way of RNAcentral. Lineage: Eukaryota; Viridiplantae; Streptophyta; Magnoliopsida; Brassicales; Brassicaceae.